CAAUCUCCUUAUAUGUUUUUCUAUAGUUUUCAUUAAAGAUUGCAAUCAAGAGAGAGACAAGUUCAGAAUCUGGUUUAAGAAAAGAAUUAUUUACCUCUUACCAUAAUUUAAAUUUAAUUCAAUGUUUAUUCAAUUUCAUGGUAAAAUAUGUAUUUAUCAGUUUAAAAACAUUGAUAAGUGCUAUAGAAAGAUAAAUUAUUAAGCACUUAUCA
This 212-nucleotide long non-coding RNA is filed under the name Phoenix dactylifera (date palm). RNAcentral's name for it is "long non-coding RNA (PDAC_LNC007808)". Lineage: Eukaryota; Viridiplantae; Streptophyta; Magnoliopsida; Arecales; Arecaceae. The record is from RNAcentral.